AAAACAAAACAGAAAUAGAAAUGUAAUAUACGAUAAGAAAAUGAUAUAUAU
Molecule: non-coding RNA, 51 nt
Filed under: Trypanosoma brucei brucei
Lineage: Eukaryota; Euglenozoa; Kinetoplastea; Trypanosomatida; Trypanosomatidae
Source: RNAcentral